Acanthosepion pharaonis is the source of this 103-nucleotide non-coding RNA. NCBI's taxonomy places the organism in Eukaryota, Metazoa, Mollusca, Cephalopoda, Sepiida, Sepiidae. The record is from the annotation of a GenBank genome assembly.
UUACGGCCAUACCUCGUUGAAACACCGGUUCUCGUACGAUCACCGAAGUUAAGCAACGUCGAGUUUGGUCAGUACCUAGAUGGGUGACCGCUUAAGAAUACCA